This is a long non-coding RNA of Sinocyclocheilus grahami, 504 nucleotides long. RefSeq lists it as uncharacterized. NCBI's taxonomy places the organism in Eukaryota, Metazoa, Chordata, Actinopteri, Cypriniformes, Cyprinidae. The transcript has 3 exons. The record is from RefSeq and is a predicted model, not a curated record.
AGCAUCCAUUUUAGGAGAGACAUGCAAUGCCAGGCAUGAGGAGAAGAAAGAGUGCCAGAAAAUCAUCCGGCUGAGGAGUCUGAAUGCCAGCACUGAUAUUUCCGCCCUGGCCAGGAAGGUGGUGGAAGAGUGUAAAGUAAUUCAUCCAUCAAAGCUGGCGGAGGUGGAACAUCUGCUGCUGUAUUUACAGAACCGAAAGAAGCCCAGCAGUAAAUCGGAGAAGAAGGAAAAGAAACCAUCGAAACCCAGAGAACUUCUGCCAUUUGAAGGAAUGGAAGUACACACAUUUUAAGUUACACAUUUUAUGGGUACUUAGAGCUGAGAAAGUGAAUGUGUUAACACAUGUGAUUAAUUAAACAUGUUGAAUUGUGCUAAUUUUUCAUAUGUUUAACGCCUAUAUCUAAUUUGACAUGAUAAUGGAUUCAUUCUGUUGUGUCUGAUUUUUACCAACUAUGAAAAGUCCAUUUUAAAUUUUACUCAAAAUGCGAUAUCCGCCGAGUUAUU